Artibeus jamaicensis (Jamaican fruit-eating bat) is the source of this 550-nucleotide non-coding RNA. The record is from the annotation of a RefSeq genome assembly. NCBI's taxonomy places the organism in Eukaryota, Metazoa, Chordata, Mammalia, Chiroptera, Phyllostomidae.
GCCCCACUGUGGGCUGAGGGGCUGUGAGCACCAUGGCCUGGACCCCUCUGCUCCUUGUGCUCCUCUCUCACUGCACAGGUUCAUUGUCCCAGCCUGUGCUGACUCAGCCGCCCUCCCUCUCUGCAUCUCUUGGAGCCACAGCCAGACUCACCUGCACCCUCAGCAGUGGCUUCAGUGUUGGUGGCUACUACAUAGACUGGUUCCAGCAGAAGCCAGGCAGCCCUCCCCGGUAUCUGCUGCGGUAUAAAUCAGACUCAGAGAAGCACCAGGGCUCUGGUGUCCCCAGCCGCUUCUCUGGAUCCAAAGACGCCUCAGCCAAUGCAGGGCUCCUGACCAUCUCAGGGCUGCAGCCUGAGGACGAGGCCGACUAUUACUGUGCUACAUAUUAUAGCAGUGGAGGCAGCUACAGUGACUCACAGUGGUUCAGAUGAAGAGGAAGUGAGACAGAAACCCCUGGGCCCAGAGGUCGUGGCUCUGAGCCUCACUGAAGCUUCUGUGGAGGCCCCUGUAAGGUGGGCUCCUCUGCAUCAGCAUGUCCAUGGAAGGGAAG